GUCGGAUCACGAUAAAAUUUUAAUAUGUUGUUCUAUGAGCAUAAUGAGGACCCUAGGAAGUAUUGGAUCUGAAAUCUGAUGUGUAGAUCUUCCAGAUUGAAUUUCUAAGGUUGUGGACCCGACGGUUAACUUUUGGUCAACUGAAUCUAAAUCCAUCUAGCAUAUCCUAUAUGAUGUGUACAAGCUACAAUUACGUGUUCUAUCGAUAAAAUUCUAAGACAUGAUUUGUUAUUUGUUCUAGGCGACAAUCGUUCGUGACACCUCGAUAGUCAUGCUAGGGAGUCGUAGCGCGGACUCCAGGUGAGUGACUUUAAUAUAUGUGAUAUAGUUAUUACCCUGAUUUCUUAUAUUAUUAUCCUUUGUGGAUAUGACUCUGUUUUAUAAACAUGUUUUCUAUAAAAUUGAUAUUUUUAUAUUUAGCCAUCGAUCUAUUUUAUUAAAUGUGAUUUGACUUAUGUAUUGGAAAUGUUUGUGAAAUGUGAGGGCUAGUAAUGGACUUUUAACCCAUUGUCAUGGGGAUUUGUUUACUUCGAUAUUGUUUCAUUUCUCGCUUCAUUGACCUGUUCUAAAUUUAGUACUUGUGCUUUGUUUCAUUUCAUUAAGCCUUUGUAAAAUGAGUAACUUGAUUCAUGUCUUGUUCCUUCAAGCCAUUUUUAUGUUCCUUGGACUUCUGCUUGGUUCCUUUCAGUGAUUCAAAACUGGGUUCCGUUGGGGUUCCGUUGAGUGGUCUGAUACCUUGCUCCGUCUAGAUUCUGUUGAGAGGUCUGAAAUCCCUUGUGUUCCGCGAUUCCAUUGAGUGGUUCAGAAUCGUAUCUUGCCUUGGAUUUAGUUGAGUGGUUCGAUAUCUAUUGUACUCCGUGAUUUUGUUGAGUGGUUUGGAAUCGUAUCCUGGUUUGGAUUUCGUUGAGUGGUUCGAAAUCCCGCUUGGUAUUUUGAUUCCGUUGAGUAGUCCGGAACCCGAUUUUGUUGGAUUUCAUUGAGUGGUUCGAAAUCACAUUCUUCAAAGAUGUAGGCUUCGACCGAACUGUGUUGCUCUAGCCCUGCAUUUUGGCGUAUUGCAUAAGUUAUUGAUUCAUAACCUUGUGUUUGACUUCAGACGGGUCAAUGGAUGUCUACGUGACUCCUUCGGGAUUUUCAAUGGUUUAUUUAUGAUAUUAUAAGGUAUGAUUUUAUAUUUGAUGUUUAUAAACCGUGAUUGAUGGAUGGUUUUUAUUAUUAUCACAUACGUCGUAUUUUUGUUACUCACACGAGCUUCGCGGGUUAUCGGGGUUGUUGUUUGCCCGGUGCACCAUUCCCAUAGUGUAGGGGGCGAUUGUGCAUGUUUAGUUGAUACGUGGAGCUUUGGGGUAGCAGACAGAGUUCAGAGAACUUAGAGUGUUAGGUUACCCCUAUACCUUUCCUUAAACAAAUGUGAUCAUUGUUAUUUUCAGUUUAGUAUUCAGUUUGUAUUUUCUGGCAUUCCCCUAUAGUCUACUAUCACGCAUCGAUCUUGGACGUAUAUUGACAUCGGGGCGUGACAAUACGCAUUCUAGGGAUGAUGAGGAUUUGUUGUAUUUGGUACAUUUUGAUAGACGACCAUAAUUUAGUUGGAUUCCGGUGAGUGUCUGGAAUCCUUUCUCUUACUCAUUCUCAUAAGGUUAGUUCAACCCUAGAUUCAAGUGAAUAGGAAUUGCUCACAGUAGACAUUGUGUUAUAAAUUUGGUUUAUCACGUUAUUACUUGGAAUCUAGGUAGGGAAGCAUGUGGGAUUCCUUUAUUAAAUUUUGUGAAUUGAUAUGUGAUCUUAUUGAUUGAUUAAAAUAGUUCAAUGUUCAUAUCGUGCAUCUUUGAUUAUUGGAAUUGAUUACUUGGAGUGAUUGUGGAAUGAUGUUGGAUAUGAUGGUUGUUACUAUGGU
This 1894-nucleotide long non-coding RNA is filed under the name Malus domestica (apple). Its description in RNAcentral is "long non-coding RNA (MDOM_LNC016405)". Lineage: Eukaryota; Viridiplantae; Streptophyta; Magnoliopsida; Rosales; Rosaceae. The record is from RNAcentral.